AACACGCAUGACACACUGCAUAUCAAUAAGCGGAGGAAAAGAAACUAACAAGGAUUCCCCUAGUAACGGCGAGUGAAGCGGGAAGAGCUCAAAUUUGAAAUCUUAAAGGGUUUCCCUUUACGAAUUGUAGUUUAAAGAAGUGUUUUCUGUUGAAGUUUCGGUAAAAGUUCUUUGGAAUAGGGCAUCAUAGAGGGUGAGAAUCCCGUAUUUGACCAUUAUUUCCAGCUGUGUGAUACACUUUCAAAGAGUCGGAUUGUUUGGGAAUGCAGUCCAAAAUGGGUGGUAAAUUUCAUCUAAAGCUAAAUAUUGGCGAGAGACCGAUAGCGAACAAGUACCGUGAGGGAAAGAUGAAAAGAACUUUGAAAAGAGAGUUAAACAGUACGUGAAAUUGUCAAAAGGGAAGCGUUUGACACCAGUGUUGUUUUUCCGAAAAUCAAUUACGAAUGUUUUGUUUUUAAGAAGUUAUGACUUCAUCGGCUUGCUUCUCUCUUUAUGAAACUUUCUUAAUGCACUUUUCGUUUAACAAGUCAACAUCAAUUUCUUUUGUUGUAAAAGAGUCAUUGGAAGGUGGCUUUCUUUUCGGAGAAAGUGUUUAUAGCCUUUGGCCUCUGCAAUCGGAGAGAUUGAGGUCUGCAGCGUAGAUCCUUCGGGGUUAGAUACAUUUGUGCUAAGCUAUAGCCUUUCAUAGACAACUUGUUGACUAUGAUCAGUCAUGUAGCUUACUCGCUUAUGCUAUUUUACCUACGCUUAGGAUGUUGAAGACUCUACAGAGAUA
RNAcentral lists this ribosomal RNA (775 nucleotides) under uncultured Neocallimastigales. Its description in RNAcentral is "partial large subunit ribosomal RNA". It matches the Rfam family "Eukaryotic large subunit ribosomal RNA", at positions 23 to 634 of the family's 3401-position model. Lineage: Eukaryota; Fungi; Neocallimastigomycota; Neocallimastigomycetes; Neocallimastigales. The record is from RNAcentral.